This 1367-nucleotide ribosomal RNA is filed under the name Alloalcanivorax marinus. RNAcentral's name for it is "Bacterial large subunit ribosomal RNA". It matches the Rfam family "Bacterial large subunit ribosomal RNA", at positions 1581 to 2925 of the family's 2925-position model. Lineage: Bacteria; Pseudomonadati; Pseudomonadota; Gammaproteobacteria; Oceanospirillales; Alcanivoracaceae. The record is from Rfam by way of RNAcentral.
GGCUGGGAAGUGGUUGAUGCCCUGCUUCCAGGAAAAUCUUCUAAGCUUCAGGUUACGAGGAACCGUACCCUAAACCGACACAGGUGGUUGGGAUGAGUAUUCUAAGGCGCUUGAGAGAACUCGGGUGAAGGAACUAGGCAAAAUGGUACCGUAACUUCGGGAGAAGGUACGCCACUUGGUGUGAAGGGCUUGCCCCGUAAGCAUCGAGUGGCCGCAGUGAAAAGGCCCCUGCAACUGUUUAUUAAAAACACAGCACUCUGCAAACGCGUAAGCGGACGUAUAGGGUGUGACGCCUGCCCGGUGCCGGAAGGUUAAUUGAUGGGGUUAGUCUUCGGACGAAGCUCUUGAUCGAAGCCCCGGUAAACGGCGGCCGUAACUAUAACGGUCCUAAGGUAGCGAAAUUCCUUGUCGGGUAAGUUCCGACCUGCACGAAUGGCGUAAUGAUGGGGGCACUGUCUCCACCCGAGACUCAGUGAAAUCGAAAUCGCAGUGAAGAUGCUGUGUACCCGCGGCUAGACGGAAAGACCCCGUGAACCUUUACUACAGCUUCACAGUGGACUUUGAGCCUGCUUGUGUAGGAUAGCUGGGAGACAUUGAAGCGGUGACGCCAGUCAUCGUGGAGUCAACCUUGAAAUACCAGCCUGGCAUGUUUGAGGUUCUAACCCAGGCCCGUGAUCCGGGUCGGGGACAUUGUGUGGUGGGUAGUUUGACUGGGGCGGUCUCCUCCCAAAGAGUAACGGAGGAGCACAAAGGUACCCUCAGCACGGUCGGACAUCGUGCAAUGAGCGUAAAGGUAGAAGGGUGCUUGACUGCGAGACCUACAAGUCGAGCAGGUGCGAAAGCAGGUCUUAGUGAUCCGGUGGUUCUGUAUGGAAGGGCCAUCGCUCAACGGAUAAAAGGUACUCCGGGGAUAACAGGCUGAUACCGCCCAAGAGUUCACAUCGACGGCGGUGUUUGGCACCUCGAUGUCGGCUCAUCUCAUCCUGGGGCUGAAGCCGGUCCCAAGGGUAUGGCUGUUCGCCAUUUAAAGAGGUACGCGAGCUGGGUUUAGAACGUCGUGAGACAGUUCGGUCCCUAUCUGCCGUGGGCGUUGGAGAUUUGAGAGGAGCUGCUCCUAGUACGAGAGGACCGGAGUGGACGAACCUCUGGUGUUCCGGUUGUCACGCCAGUGGCAUUGCCGGGUAGCUACGUUCGGACGGGAUAACCGCUGAAAGCAUCUAAGCGGGAAGCCUCCCUCAAGAUGAGAUCUCCCUGACCCCUUGAGGGUCCUGAAGGGCCGUGGAAGACCACCACGUUGAUAGGCGGGAUGUGGACGCGCUGUGAGGCGUGAAGCUAACCCGUACUAAUUGCCCGUGCGGCUUGACCAU